UAACGUGCGAAGGGGUUACCUCGAGUGCCACCUGAAGAAGGUGGCUUUUCCUUGGUCUAAAAAGCCUCGGGAAUAAGAGGGGGGCAAGACUGGUGUCAGCCGCCGCGGUAACACCAGCCCCUCGAGUGGUGGGGAUGAUUAUUUGGCCUAAAGCGUCCGUAGCCUGCCGGGUAAGUCUCCCGUUAAAUCCAACGUCUCAAGCGUUGGACUGCGGGAGAUACUGCCUGGCUAGAGAGUGGGAGAGGCCAGCGGUAUUCUGGGGGUAGGGGCGAAAUCCUUUGAUCCCCGGAGGACCACCAGUGGCGAAGGCUGCUGACUAGAACACGUCUGACGGUCAGGGACGAAAGCUGGGGUAGCGAACCGGAUUAGAUACCCGGGUAGUCCCAGCCGUAAACGAUGCAUGCUAGGUGUUGGGUUGGCCACGAGCCACCCCAGUGCCGCAGGGAAGCCGUUAAGCAUGCCGCCUGGGAAGUACGAUCGUAACGUGCGAUAACGUGCGAUAACGUGCGAG
This 511-nucleotide ribosomal RNA is filed under the name uncultured Thermoproteales archaeon. RNAcentral describes it as "bacterial SSU rRNA". It matches the Rfam family "Archaeal small subunit ribosomal RNA", at positions 361 to 872 of the family's 1478-position model. The record is from RNAcentral. Lineage: Archaea; Thermoproteati; Thermoproteota; Thermoprotei; Thermoproteales.